UAAUAAGAAGUUCGUGGCUGCUUAAUCCUGCAUUGUGCGACAAAUUCUACAUAACCACCUCUCACCUUAUCCUGUGCCACCAUCGUUUUUCUUAAGCUGCCCAAGUUUCUAUUUUUAAUGGCAAUUAACCCUUGAAAAUACCCCAUGAUUUUCUAUGUGUCAGCCACACACGGCCUUUGAUAUUUAGCUUUUCUGAUGCAAAAUAUGAAUUCUUCU
Molecule: non-coding RNA, 216 nt
Organism: Pelobates cultripes (western spadefoot toad)
Lineage: Eukaryota; Metazoa; Chordata; Amphibia; Anura; Pelobatidae
Source: the annotation of a GenBank genome assembly